GAUGAACGCUGGCGGCGUGCCUAAUACAUGCAAGUCGAGCGAACAGACGAGGAGCUUGCUCCUCUGACGUUAGCGGCGGACGGGUGAGUAACACGUGGAUAACCUACCUAUAAGACUGGGAUAACUUCGGGAAACCGGAGCUAAUACCGGAUAAUAUAUUGAACCGCAUGGUUCAAUAGUGAAAGACGGUUUUGCUGUCACUUAUAGAUGGAUCCGCGCCGCAUUAGCUAGUUGGUAAGGUAACGGCUUACCAAGGCGACGAUGCGUAGCCGACCUGAGAGGGUGAUCGGCCACACUGGAACUAAGACACGGUCCAGACUCCUACGGGAGGCAGCAGUAGGGAAUCUUCCGCAAUGGGCGAAAGCCUGACGGAGCAACGCCGCGUGAGUGAUGAAGGUCUUCGGAUCGUAAAACUCUGUUAUUAGGGAAGAACAAAUGUGUAAGUAACUAUGCACGUCUUGACGGUACCUAAUCAGAAAGCCACGGCUAACUACGU
Molecule: ribosomal RNA, 496 nt
Filed under: uncultured bacterium
Lineage: Bacteria
Description: partial 16S ribosomal RNA
Rfam family: Bacterial small subunit ribosomal RNA
Source: RNAcentral